Molecule: transfer RNA, 76 nt
Filed under: Micromonospora sp. KC721
Lineage: Bacteria; Bacillati; Actinomycetota; Actinomycetes; Micromonosporales; Micromonosporaceae
Description: tRNA-His
Rfam family: tRNA
About the family: Transfer RNA (tRNA) molecules are approximately 80 nucleotides in length. Their secondary structure includes four short double-helical elements and three loops (D, anti-codon, and T loops).
Source: RNAcentral
GUGGCUGUAGCUCAGUGGUAGAGCGCCCGGUUGUGGCCCGGGAGGUCGCGGGGGUCGGUACCCGCCAGUCACCCCA